This 1117-nucleotide long non-coding RNA is filed under the name Pogona vitticeps (central bearded dragon). RNAcentral describes it as "lncRNA (ENSPVIG00000021649.1)". Lineage: Eukaryota; Metazoa; Chordata; Lepidosauria; Squamata; Agamidae. The record is from RNAcentral.
UUACUCUGUUUUUCUCCUUUAAAAAGGUCCCAAGGCAGCUUAUAUAUUACUGAAAGACAUACGUGAUGGCCUCCCACCCGGCCAGCCCACCAUGGCUCAGUUCUCUUGCUUUAUGACCUUCUGUGGUCACCCGGGAGACCAGAAUCGAGCAGUAGGACAUUCCGAGAGAGAACCUGAAGUGGGUGGUUAGGGGAUAUGGGUUCACCUGGCGCUCUCAGGUGCUGGUUAUCCCAAUGGGCACCCGCAAUGGCCCAAGGCUUUCUCCUUCCCGGAAUGUCAAGGACCUUGUCUAGACCGCACUCAACAGCUGGGGCAUGCUCUGGGUGCAGAAGAGGUUGGUCCAUGCUGCUUCUAGCAGGCCACCUCUUGAAUUCCUACUUCUUCACCUUGACAGAAUGUGAUCAGAACUUUAGCAUCCUGGUCAUCGCAGAUCCAUGGUUCCCCUUAGUUGGCACAGAGGUCAGUCUCAUCCCGAACGACAGCAUGGAAAAUGUUCUCAUCUGCGCCUGGUACCGAUGGGAUAUAUCUGUUGAGAAUCAAAUCUUGGUCUACGAGCCGCCCCCGGUUUCCAAAGUGGAACAUAAGGACUCCUAUACUGGGCGGGAGAGCAUGACGGCAGAUUGCGCUCUCCACAUUGCGAAUGUAUCUCUCCCAGAUGGGGGUUAUUAUAUAAUCCAAAAGAACACCACUGUAGCCUCGGAAGCAGGACAGAUAUUCUUAAUGGUCGUAGAAGGUUUCCUGCAACCGAAAAGCCCCAAAGUUCUCUCCGAAGGAGCCAUUGCUGGGAUUUUUGUUCUGGGUGUUGUUAUAAUCACGGUCAUUGCAUCCCUGGUUUCGUAUAAGAUCUUAAGCAGUUCUGCAGGGUGAACCCCAUUGUCACAUUCCUGGUCCAAAAGAUUGACAGAAUUCAUGUCUGGCACAGGAUUCAGCCCACCUACAAAUUUCCUACCUCUUUCACCAGACAGAGAAGCCCCUUUAACGUGGAAAUCACAAUGGAAGUAUAAAGGAUAUCUUGCUAGUCCUUAAAAACCAAGUCUUACAGAUGUCCAGUACAGUAGGAGUGAGUGAAAAUGUAUCAUAUAUUUGAUCAAAAAAAUAAAACCCUUUCAUGCUCACA